Molecule: long non-coding RNA, 1200 nt
Organism: Carya illinoinensis
Lineage: Eukaryota; Viridiplantae; Streptophyta; Magnoliopsida; Fagales; Juglandaceae
Exons: 2
Source: RefSeq, a predicted model, not a curated record
ACCUACCUAUCUAGCACACGCAUAGUCGAAAGUAUUCAAGAAAAAAGUUAGAUAUCCCCGUCAAAGAAUUAUAAAAUUAAAAUUUUAAAAUGAUUACAAGGCUCCAUAAUUAUAGUUUAAUUAAGUUAAACCCAUUUAAGAGAAAACAGGCAAACAGUUGGACUGGAUAAUGACGAUCAGAUGAUUGGGCCUCAAUAGGAAGAAGGGGGCCCAUUGAAGCCUGAUUCAUCUAAAAAGAACAAUUUAUUCGUCAAAAGAUUCAGAGGAGGAUAUCUAGGAAGUGAAGUGGGACAUGAGCUCCAGUUUACCAAGGAAACCACUCGCGGCUUCUCAACAAAUUUGGUGGCCUCGCCUCGCGCCCCUUACUUUUUGAAUUAUAUAUAUAAGCCCCCACAAACCCUAGUUUUCUUUACUCCACUACACACAGAGAGCGAGAGUGAGAGAGAGCGAUCGAACAGGCGAGAAAAGAAGGCAUAUAUACAUAUAGCUGCUGCGGAAGUCCUGUUUUUGCUCUCUCAUUGAUACUCAUUCCAAGAAGAACAGCUUCUGCAGCAGCUGCAGGACCCAACAACACACACACACACACACACGCAAAAUGGCUCUCUCUCUCAGGCUAUAAGCUUCUUACUGCUUCACUUGCAGAUGGUCGAUCCCUCUUUUAUCAUUUGGUGAUAUGACAGCCGAGGUUAUGCAGUCGCAUCACAUGACUUGGUGUCGGCAAGCUUUGCAGGAGGAGGGUGCAGCAGAGCAGUGGUAGGGAAAGCACAAGAUCGGAGGGCUGCGAUUAAAGAAGAAGAAUCCGGGGCCUCUUGAUCUGGCAUGGAGUCCCGACUGUGUGACUGCCAACUACAGGCCCAUCAAUCAUGCAGCUGAGAAUAAAUGUUGAUGCCGUGGAACACCGAGACAUGCUGUUGAACCACAGGGCGAAGGAAGCGAGACCACACUAGCUAGAAUACAUAUGCAGGAACCCACGUGGUUUGGUUAUCAUAUUCAGAAGGAUUCUGUGCUGUUCUUGGACGUACUCUGGAACCUGUUCUGGCUAUAACUUAUCAGGCUAUUGAAUUUAUUUAUUUUUUCUCUCUUCGUUAUCAAAGGCAAUGAGUGACUUUGCAUUCAUGGUGCAUAUUAGGCAGCUGAUCGUGAUGAACUGGUUACUCCUUAUUUUGGAUAAGAAUAAUAAUGCAAGUCUGUCUUUUGUUA